UUGGAUUUCAGUUAAUUAUUCCUUAUACUUUAGGGGUUAUAGGGAAGGAAUAGAAGUUAAAAAAAAAAAGAACAACUACUUCUCUGGCACAGUAAUUGCUCUAAUAUUAUGUAAGCUAAGCAGCCCCUCAUGCCUUGCACUGCCCCUAAAAAAAAAAAAAAAAAAGAAAGAAAAAAGAAAUUGGCCUCCAUGUGACUGUUAUAGUGGCUAAGGAACAAGAAUGAAGUGAAAAAACAAGAUGUAGUCUUUGAAAGCCACCUUUACUUGGGAGGCUGGUUAUAUAUUUAGUCUAUUAUGUACAGUGCCUUCUAACUAUAGCUACUAAGAUAAAGGCAACAAUUAUAAACCUGUUCUAGAUUGGUUUUGGGUACCAUGUUUAUAAUGUGAAGCUUACCUACAUGAUUCCUUUAACACUUUACUUUUUGCAGUAUAUGAUCUAUGUGCAUGGUUUAGACUGGGUCAUUUCUCCAGCUCCGGCAGAUGAAGACUGGGUGGAAGACAGGAAGAGACGAUGGCACCAACAAUGUGUUCCUCUGUCUGAAAGACAUAAUUGCUUGAUGGAAGAAUAGUCUGUUCGACUCCUGGGUGUGAUGGAAGUGAUGCUGGCUGCAUAAGACUACAAAGUAGUGGAUUAGCAUGAGGGGAAGAUGGUUACUACUUCCAUGCCACAACUGGGCAAAUAAUGUUCUCCUCACCUGGAGGACUGGAUCUUCACUAAUGAUGCAAAAGUUCCACCAUGUAUAUUCAAAAUUUGGAAAUAAAACUGUCACUGAUUGUUUUUCUAGGAAGACUAAAUUAGGAGGUUUUCAUUACUGUUCUUUAUAAUAUAAAAUGAUUCAGCUUCAAGUUACUCAGUAUCUGAAUAUGAGUUAGACAAAAUACUUUUCAGCAUUUUGAUGGAUUAUGAAGCCUCACCUUAUAUAUCUUAAUUGUUAGAAUUUUCUUUGGAUUUGUAUGAACUGUCAAGCUUUAUAAUUUGUGUGUAUGUAUUUCAGUAUAAAAUUCUUGUCUGCCUCAACCUAUUUUAUUGCUCUUCAUGAUGCUACGUUAAUGUCAAGCAUCAUGACACAAGUUGAAUAUAUUCAUUCAAAUGAAAACUACCCUUCACACAAUCCUUAUUUCAACCUCUUUUUAGCAUAUUUUUGGAAGCUUUAAAGAGGCAGACGAUGUUCCAAGUUCCAAUUAGAAGUAAACAACAUAUUAGCAGAGUAUUUUGGUCAAAUAAGAAAAUAAAAUCAUUUUUUUCAGAAAGAUUCA
This 1257-nucleotide long non-coding RNA is filed under the name Anser brachyrhynchus (Pink-footed goose). Its description in RNAcentral is "lncRNA (ENSABRG00000002818.1)". Lineage: Eukaryota; Metazoa; Chordata; Aves; Anseriformes; Anatidae. The record is from RNAcentral.